GCCUCAGUGGUGUAGUGGUAGAGCACGCCCCCCCCCCUCCCGGAUAGGAUGAAACGUGGGUUCGAUUCCCGCCUGAGGUC
Molecule: non-coding RNA, 80 nt
Organism: Parelaphostrongylus tenuis
Lineage: Eukaryota; Metazoa; Nematoda; Chromadorea; Rhabditida; Metastrongylidae
Source: the annotation of a GenBank genome assembly